AUGAAAAUUUAACAGAGUAUAACUUACCUUCCCAUGGUAAAUAAACUAGGAAACUGAACAAAAUUAUAUUAACCCACUAUUUACAUAUAUUGGACAAUGGACAGCACAGGGAAAUAAAAAAAGUGGGCCCUGUGAUCUACCUGACUCCCUAACUGGAGGCACAUUCUAGAUCACGGUGAGGGAAAGGAUCCAAGAAAAACAUGGUAGUCUCAUCGAGUUAAGGUAAAUAAUCAAAGGUAAAAGAGGCAGAAGUCUUAGGGCUGAUAUUUUAGUUUUAGGUCGAGGAGAGCUACCACUACUACUAGUACACACACACACACACACACACACACACACACACACACACACACACACACGCAGCUCCAGAAAUCUACAUAAGGGUAAACUUGAGUGCGUAUUGAUUAUUAAACCAUAUGUGUAUAAGAUGAAAUUCCAUAAGCUAAACAGAGAGCAACUUUUGUGACACUAUAAACUGAAAUAUUCCCAAAGCACAUAGAGAGUUUAAACUCCAACCAUGCAGAAUUAGGAGUUUUCGUCAAUCACCCUAGAAGGGUCACAUUUAGGAGCUGUACUAAAUAACCCUGCAAAGAAAGGCUAGUCUUGACCUGUCCUAAAUCCAAGCCUCAGAAUGAUCCAGGCGAUCUGAAGUAAAUUAAAAAUUAGUGAACUUAAGUAUAUAACUGUGGAAACCAACCUAACUGUAUGGAGGGUAGAAAAAGAAGAUUGAAAAUAUGAGGAGACUCAAUGACCUGGGAGAAAACAUCAAGGAGUUUAGCACAUACAUAAUUAUAAUAUAAGAAGGAAAGGACAAAGAAAGGGAAAACCAGAAAAAUACUUGAAACAAUUCUGGCAUAAAAGUUUCAUUUCUUUCUGCAGUGUAUAUUCGGUUAUAUAUUCCAAUCAGUAAAUGUUUUAUUUUUAUACAGUAGUAUUUUCAUAACUAGAUGAUUUUUUGGUACAUUUCCUAUUUUUCUCCUCAUUAUGUUCAUAUUUGUCUUUAAAUCCUUGAGCAUGUUGUAUAUAAUACCUAUUUAAAAAUCCUUUUCUGAAGAUUCCAUUAUUUCAUUUCUGUGUUCGUUCUAUUAAUUUUCUUCUGAUUAUGAGUUACAUUUUCCUAAUUCUUGACAUAUCUAGCAAUUUUUAAAAUUAGAUAUUAGACCUUGUAUUUGUAAGUUUUUGAAUGGAUGGACUCUAUUGUUUUCCUUUAAAGUUUGUUGGGCCUUGUUCUGGUAGAGAAUUAAUUUACUUCCUAGAAAAGACCCCCCUUCCCCAAAAAAAUGUAAUCUUGACAAUGAUGAAAUAUCACUUCCAUAGUAUUCCUGACAAAAGGACAUAACCCAAGUCUAAUUAUGAGGAAACAUCAAAUAUCCAUACGUUAGAGACAUCUUCAAAAUAACUGGCCUGUACUCUUCAAGAAUCUUGAUAUCUUUAAAGUCAAUUUAAAAAGAAAGAGACCAAUUUGAGACAAAAAUGACAUGACAACUAAAUGCAAUGUAGAUCCUGAAGCUUUUUAUCUUCUUUAUUUGCUAUAAAAGAUAGCACUAAAACAUUGAUCAAAAUUUCAAUAAGUUCUGUAGAUUAUAGAAUAGUGUUGUAUCAGUCUUAUUUCCCUGAUUUUUAUCAUUGUGCUAUGAUUAUGCAAAUGCAAGUAUAUAAGGGCAAAAAGACCUAAUUUCUGAAACAUUCUCUCACAUGGUUGAGAAAAAAUAGCUGUGUGUAUCUACAUAUAUACAGAGAGAGUGAUGAAUCAAAUGAGUAAAAUGUUAACAAUUGGGGAAUCUAAAUUAUAUUUCCAAAAUGUAUAAACAAACAUAGGGAAAAAAAUCAUAUUUGUGGUUACCAGAGAUGGGGGUGGGGGGAGGAAUUGGAUGAAGGCUGUCGAGAGGUACAAGCUUCCAGUUAUAAAUAAGCAUUAGAGAUGUAAUGUAAAACAUGAUAUAUAGUAUAAUUAAAACUGCUGUAUGAUAUGUAUAUGAAAGUAGUUAAGAGCGUAAAUCCUGAGUUCUCAUCACAAAGAAAAAUAUAUUUUUCUAUUCUUAUAGUUUGUGUCUAUAUGAGAUGAUGGAUAUUCAGUAAAGUUAUCGGGUUAAUCAUCUCAUGAUGUUUGUAAGUCACAUCGUUAUACUGUAUACUUUAGACUUAUACAGUGCUAUAUGCCAAUUAUAUCUCAGAGACAGGAAGGAAAAGGAAAAAUGGGGGGACUCUAAAUGGAAUCUAUGUAGGAAUCCUUUCUACUCCUGUUAUAACUUUCCUGUAAAUUGAAACUCUCUCAGAAUAAAGCUCCCCUCCACUAAAAAGCUGUUACACCAAGGCAGCAACCACACACAGCCUCCCCCACAACACACACCUACUCUUUUUUCCAAGAGAAGAGAACCAUCUUUCUCUGGCUUCAAACGGCAAUCUUGCUCCAUCCUCUUCUCCUGCAGGUCUUCCUAGUCCCUAGUACUCUGUAGAAGUCAGACACUUAGUGGCUCAUUCGGCUUUUUGCCAUAAACCCCAGGCGUCUUGAGCUUCAGCUUCACUUACGGGCUUGGAUUUUUGUCCAGAUGGUUAUUUAUCUUGCUUUCCACUGUAACUCUGUCUCACUGCUUUUCUCUUUUUAUGUUUUAAAUGUCAGUGCUAAAAAGUGUAUUGAAGUUUGAAAUUAUGGAACCCAUUUGGACCAAAAAUUUUAUUAGGGCCUUUAACAAAAGCUACAACCACUGUUGGACCAUUGGAAAUAUGUAUUUUGCCUAUAACUAAGUACAAAUAAAAUUCUAAGUCUUUUAAAGUCAUUUGUGGUUUUGGAUAUCCAGACUCAGCAAGUUUAUUGAUUCAGUAGUACAAUCCAUCACCUGGGAUGUUAUAGUGUAUCUAUGAUUACAAUGACCAUGUGACAACUAAUUUAAAAAAUAGCUAAAAAUAAUUCAUGUACUCAUGAUGUUUGAUUUGAAAAACUGAUGCUAUCCCAUGUGAAACAUUUUCAGCAUUCACCCAAAAAAUAUUUUGAGUAUCUACUAUGUGUAAAGUGGAGCUUAGGCAUACGAUAAUAAAUCACCCUUACCAUAGCUUCUAGGACCUCAAGGUCCAAUAGGAAAGAUAAACCAUCAAUAAAUUACCAAGGUGGACCUAAACAAAAAUGUUUCAAAGAGUUCGAAGAAAUGAGAGAUGAAUUCCAUCUCUAAGGGAUUAAAGAAUUCCUCUAAGAAGAGGUGGCUUUGGGGCUAUGUCUUUGGGAUCAUAAAAUUGGGAUCUUGGAGUUCCCAUUGUGGCUCAGCAGUUAAUGAACUAGAAUAGCAUCCAUGAGGGCGAGGGUUCGAUCCCUGGCCUCGCUCAGUGGAUUAAGGAUCUGGCAUUGCUGUGAGCUGUGGUGUAGGUCACAGAUGUGGCUUGGAUCCAGCGUUGCUGUGUCUGUGGCAGAGGUCGGCAGCUGUAGCUCUGAUUGGACCCUUAGCCUGGGAACCUCCAUAUGCUGUGAGUACAGCCCUAAAAAGACAAAAAAAAAAAAA
This 3488-nucleotide long non-coding RNA is filed under the name Sus scrofa (pig). Its description in RNAcentral is "lncRNA (ENSSSCG00055019509.1)". Lineage: Eukaryota; Metazoa; Chordata; Mammalia; Artiodactyla; Suidae. The record is from RNAcentral.